This 776-nucleotide ribosomal RNA is filed under the name uncultured Neocallimastigales. RNAcentral's name for it is "partial large subunit ribosomal RNA". It matches the Rfam family "Eukaryotic large subunit ribosomal RNA", at positions 24 to 649 of the family's 3401-position model. The record is from RNAcentral. Lineage: Eukaryota; Fungi; Neocallimastigomycota; Neocallimastigomycetes; Neocallimastigales.
UUAUCUCUGUAGAGUCUGCAUAUCAAUAAGCGGAGGAAAAGAAACUAACUAGGAUUCCCCUAGUAACGGCGAGUGAAGCGGGAAGAGCUCAAAUUUGAAAUCUUAAAGGUUUUCCCUUGACGAAUUGUAGUUUAAAGAAGUGUUUUCUGUUAGAAUUUUGGUAAAAGUUCUUUGGAAAUAGGACAUCAUAAGAGGGUGAGAAUCCCGUAUUUGACUAUUCUUUCUAGCUUUGUGAUACACUUUCAAAGAGUCGGAUUGUUUGGGAAUGCAGUCCAAAAUGGGUGGUAAAUUUCAUCUAAAGCUAAAUAUUGGCGAGAGACCGAUAGCGAACAAGUACCGUGAGGGAAAGAUGAAAAGAACUUUGAAAAGAGAGUUAAACAGUACGUGAAAUUGUCAAAAGGGAAGCGUUUGACACCAGUGUUGUUUUCUCGAAAAUCAAUUAAAAAUGCUGGAUUUUGUGUUGUAUUGACUUUAUCAGCUUUCUGCACUUUUUUCCUGUCUUUUUUAAUGCACUUUUCGUUUAACAAGUCAACAUCAAUUUCUUUUGUUGUAAAAGGGUCAUUGGAAGGUGGCUUUCUUUUCGGAGAAAGUGUUUAUAGCCUUUGGCCUCUGCAAUCGGAGAGAUUGAGGUCUGCAGCGUAGAUCCUUCGGGGUUAGAUACAUUUGUACUAAGCUAUAGCCUUUCAUAGACAACUUGUUGACUAUGAUCAGUCAUGUAGCUUACUCGCUUAUGUCAUUUUACCUACGCUUAGGAUGUUGAGUAGCGACAUACGCAC